GUGCUAACUAAAAAUUAUAUCUGACAUAUAUCAAGAUUCAAAAAAAGAUACUGUCCCUCACAAAAUACCAUUAAAACAUUACAAUCUUUUUCAUAACAAGGCUAUUUUAAUGUCUUGACUCACAGGGGACUUAUAAUAAUAAAUCUUUUCGAUAAUCAGACUUGCAGGAAUUCCUGAGCCAAGGGCUCAACAAUCAAGAAAAGUAUAAUAAUGACAAUGGUAAAUGACAACAUGGGCUAGUGACAGGCAGAUGUUGGGACAAGGUGAGAGAGGCAUUAUCCAGCACCCUGCAUGGAUGCCCUGUGAUGAGCCUAUGGGAGGACUUGGAUAAGAGCUCCCAAGGUGAGUGGCAAGGAGAAACUGUGACCUGCGUCACUGGAGGGAAUUUCUGAAUCAAAGAGAUCAGGAACGUUUGAGAGACAAAUGAUGUUUAUAUAAGUACUUUGCAGAACUUAUCUUACUUAAGCCUCACAACAACCCUGUGAGGUAGGUACUAUCACUAUUAUCCCCAUUUUACAGAUGAGGAAACUGAAGUUCAAAGAGGUUCGUGUCCUGGCUCAGUCUCACAGCUAGACUAUAUCAGGGCUGUGAUUUCCACUGUUUUUCCUGACUCUACGGGCAGACCUCUCUACCCCCAUCAGCUUCCUAGGGAAUUUUGCAUCCUGAAGAUGCUACUGACUAGAAUCUGUGUGAAUUCAGUAUCUCUCAGUCUCAGUUUCUCAAACUGUAAAAUAAGGAGGGGUCUUUGUUGUCCCUUUCAACUCUAAAUCUAUGAGCCUGCAUGUCCAUCCACAGAACACCAUGGAAGCACUCCUGACUGCUUCCAUAUCCUCUACAGUCUGCCAUAUUUGUUACUUAGCUAAAAGAAGACGUCGCAGAUGGCAUUUCCUAUAUAUAAAUCUUUCUCCCUCCACCAAAAUUACAAACAACUCCAGAAUAAGGACGAUAGCUAUCUGAUACACUGUACAUGGUAGACUCUCAAUAACUACCUAUUAAUGAUGGUAACCUCUGAAUCAUUUUCUCCAUUUUUCUACUUCAUAAAAUUGGAGUAGGCCAAUGGUUUUGUUCACUGGAUUACUGCUGUCAUAUUCAA
This 1093-nucleotide long non-coding RNA is filed under the name Sarcophilus harrisii (Tasmanian devil). RNAcentral's name for it is "lncRNA (ENSSHAG00000028853.1)". Lineage: Eukaryota; Metazoa; Chordata; Mammalia; Dasyuromorphia; Dasyuridae. The record is from RNAcentral.